AUACGUAGGGGACGAGCGUUGUCCGGAAUUACUGGGCGUAAAGGGCGCGCAGGCGGAUAUUUAAGUCAGCUGUAAAAGGCAUGAGCUCAACUCAUGUAUGCGGUUGAAACUGGGUAUCUAGAGUGCUGGAGAGGUAGGCGGAAUUCCCGGUGGAGCGGUGAAAUGCGUAGAUAUCGGGAAGAACACCAGUGGCGAAGGCGGCUUACUGGCCAGCAACUGACGCUGAGGCGCGAAAGCCAGGGGAGCGAACGGGAUUAGAUACCCCGGUAGUCCUGGCCGUAAACGAUGAAUGCUAGGUGUGGGUGUCGAGAGGCAUCCGUGCCGGAGUUAACGCGAUAAGCAUUCCGCCUGGGGAGUACGAUCGCAAGAUUGAAACUCAAAUGAAUUGACGGG
RNAcentral lists this ribosomal RNA (393 nucleotides) under uncultured bacterium. RNAcentral's name for it is "partial 16S ribosomal RNA". It matches the Rfam family "Bacterial small subunit ribosomal RNA", at positions 523 to 917 of the family's 1533-position model. The record is from RNAcentral.